Danio rerio (zebrafish) is the source of this 1324-nucleotide non-coding RNA. The record is from RefSeq and is a predicted model, not a curated record. NCBI's taxonomy places the organism in Eukaryota, Metazoa, Chordata, Actinopteri, Cypriniformes, Danionidae.
UAGCAGCAGAUCAGCUUUCCAAACAAUAACAAAUCUCGCUUGUCUGUUAGUUUGUGUUUACUGUUGCUAUGGUGAUUUAGUGUUUGCAAGGGAGUGAGAGAAGUAAGUUGUUAUUGUAUUAUCAGUAGAAAAUUAUUAGAUUUAUAUCUUUUAAUGUUCUAAAUUCGUAUUAACUGUGCAAUUUUACCAUUAAUAAGAUGCUGCAAUGAUUUAUGUAAUAUAUUUUUGAUUAAGGAUUGAGAGAAAAAGCGUCAUUUGUAUAUGAGAGUGAAAUCUGCACACGAGUGCCACCUGGAGUUUUCCUGGGUUUUCGCUUUGAUUUUGAGUGAUUUCCUUGGCUGGGUUUUUUGUGUGUGUCGAAGCAUCUGUGAUGAGUCCCUAAUUCACGUUGGACUCGAGGAGAAACUUACGGCGAGCCACCCACGGAACCGACUCUCCUGUUAGACUGUGUGUUUGUGCCACCGGACUGGUAGGAGAGUUCUUUUGAUUGUUUGGAGAAACGAGACUCGGACUCAUCGCGACCUUCCGCUUUUCCUUCUUACUUUUCCUAAAAUCCUCAACGGAAAACCUUUACUGGAACUGAGCUAAGAGAAUCAACAGUUCUCUUUCACGAAAUCCUUGGUAUUGAACUGUGAACGGCAACCGGUGGAACGAAUCAUCUGAAAGCGAAACAAAUCCUUUGGACAGCAAAACGAAUCUUUUGAGUAGCGAACGAUUCAUUUGAACAGAGUUUUGAUUCUUUGAACAGUGAGGUGAUUCAUUUUAACAGAGUAGCGAUCUUUUGAACAGGGAGGUGAUUCAUUUGAACCGUGUAUUGAUUCUUUAAACAGAGAGGUGAUUUAUUUGAGCACAUUAAUGAUUUAUUGAGUUAAAAGUGUGAAUAUUGAAUUAUAGCCUGCAUUUGAGUAGAGUUGGUAUAUUUAUUAUUGAUUUAUUUCUUUAUUUUCUUUUAUUUAUUACAUUUGAGAAUACAGAGUAUUUUUUAUCACAAAUUUAUUGCCUUCUUUACUUUGUUUGAUACAAAGGGUAACACAGUGUUGUAGCUUUCUAAGAUUUUUAUUUUCAUUUUGUACAAGUGUUUGAAAUUUCUCAACUGUCUUGAUCACAACUUUGUUUUAACUGUAUAUUGACUUCACGUUCAUCUGUGUAAAGAAAAAAAGAGAAAAUUAUUUACUUUUUAUUAUUAUAAUUUAUAACCUAUAUAAUUUAUAACCUAUAUAACCUAUAUCGAACCUAUAUAUACAUAAAUACUUAUGCUUAUUGGACAGAAAUUCACAAACUCAUAACAUAUUUCUAAUUAUAUAAACUAUAUUGAAGGAAAAAA